GAUGAAGAACGCAGCGAAAUGCGAUAAGUAAUGUGAAUUGCAGAAUUCAGUGAAUCAUCGAAUAUUUGAACGCACAUUGCGCCCCCUGGUAUUCCGGGGGGCAUGCCUGUCCGAGCGUCAUUACAACCCUCAAGCACAGCUUGGUGUUGGGCCCCGCCGCCCCGGCGGGCCCUAAAGUCAGUGGCGGUGCCGUCCGGCUCCGAGCGUAGUAAUUCUUCUCGCUCUGGAGGUCCGGUCGUGUGCUCGCCAGCAACCCCCAAUUUUUUUCAGGUUGACCUCGGAUCAGGUAGGGAUACCCGCUGAACUUAAGCAUAUCAAUAAGCGGAGGA
This 329-nucleotide unclassified non-coding RNA is filed under the name soil metagenome. Its description in RNAcentral is "partial contains 5.8S ribosomal RNA, internal transcribed spacer 2, and large subunit ribosomal RNA". The stretch from base 1 to 120 matches the Rfam family "5.8S ribosomal RNA", at positions 35 to 154 of the family's 154-position model. The record is from RNAcentral.